RNAcentral lists this transfer RNA (75 nucleotides) under Candidatus Portnoybacteria bacterium RBG_19FT_COMBO_36_7. RNAcentral's name for it is "tRNA-Glu". It matches the Rfam family "tRNA". Rfam says of the family: Transfer RNA (tRNA) molecules are approximately 80 nucleotides in length. Their secondary structure includes four short double-helical elements and three loops (D, anti-codon, and T loops). Lineage: Bacteria; Candidatus Portnoyibacteriota. The record is from RNAcentral.
GCCGCUAUCGUCUAGUGGUUAGGACAUAUGGUUCUCAGCCAUAUAACCGGGGUUCGACUCCCCGUAGCGGUACUA